RNAcentral lists this ribosomal RNA (556 nucleotides) under uncultured bacterium. RNAcentral's name for it is "bacterial SSU rRNA". It matches the Rfam family "Bacterial small subunit ribosomal RNA", at positions 338 to 916 of the family's 1533-position model. The record is from RNAcentral.
CCUACGGGAGGCAGCAGUGAGGAAUCUUCCACAAUGGGGGCAACCCUGAUGGAGCGACACCGCGUGAAGGAUGAAGGUCUAACGAUUGUAAACUUCUUUUCUGAGGGAGCAUAAUGAGAGUACUUCAGGAAUAAGGGACGGCUAAAUACGUGCCAGCAGCCGCGGUAAUACGUAUGUCUCGAGCGUUAUCCGGAAUUACUGGGUGUAAAGGGUUUGUAGGUUGUUUGUUAAGUAGGGUAUGAAAGACCGGAGCUCAACUCCGUGUUUGUAUUCUAAACUGGCUGACUAGAGUUAGGGAGAGGUAAGCGGAAUUUUAAGUGUAGGGGUGCAAUCCGUAGAUACUUAGAAGAACACCAAAAGCGAAGGCAGCUUACUGGAACUAUACUGACGCUGAAAAACGAAAGCGUGGGGAGCGAAAAGGAUUAGAUACCCUUGUAGUCCACGCCCUAAACGAUGAUAACUUAGUGUUGGGGGUAACCUCAGUGCUGAAGCUAACGCGUUAAGUUAUCCACCUGAGGAGUACGGUCGCAAGAUUAAAACUCAAAUGAAUUGACGG